GAUGAGAACGUAGCGAAAUGCGAUAAGUAAUGUGAAUUGCAGAAUUCAGUGAAUCAUCGAAUCUUUGAACGCACAUUGCGCCCCCUGGUAUUCCGUGGGGCAUGCCUGUUCGAGCGUCAUUUCACCACUCAAGCCUCGCUUGGUAUUGGGCAUCGCGGUCCGCCGCGCGCCUCAAAUCGACCGGCUGGGUCUUCUGUCCCCUAAGCGUUGUGGAAACUAUUCGCUAAAGGGUGUUCGGGAGGCUACGCCGUAAAACAACCCCAUUUCUAAGGUUGACCUCGGAUCAGGUAGGGAUACCCGCUGAACUUAAGCAUAUCAAUAAGCGGAGGA
This 330-nucleotide unclassified non-coding RNA is filed under the name soil metagenome. RNAcentral describes it as "partial contains 5.8S ribosomal RNA, internal transcribed spacer 2, and large subunit ribosomal RNA". The stretch from base 5 to 119 matches the Rfam family "5.8S ribosomal RNA", at positions 40 to 154 of the family's 154-position model. The record is from RNAcentral.